Molecule: unclassified non-coding RNA, 334 nt
Filed under: Hevea brasiliensis (rubber tree)
Lineage: Eukaryota; Viridiplantae; Streptophyta; Magnoliopsida; Malpighiales; Euphorbiaceae
Source: RNAcentral
AUGGUGGGAAGCUCAAGUUCAAGUAAUUGUUCAUCAGGAAAACUUUUUACUUGGGGAGAUGGUGAUAAAGGUAGACUAGGGCAUGGUGACAAGGAGUCGAAACUUGUACCUACCUGUGUUGCAGCUCUUGUCGAACCAAACUUUUGCCAAGUUGCUUGUGGACACAGCUUGACAGUUGCAUUGACAACUUCUGGUCAUGUGUAUACAAUGGGAAGUCCUGUGUAUGGCCAAUUAGGUCAUCACCAAGCUGAUGGGAAGUUACCCCGUCGUGUUGAAGGCAAGCUGGCAAAGAGUUUUGUGGAGGAGAUCGCCUGUGGAGCAUAUCAUGUUGCUG